AUUGAGAAUGCAAAAGUCUGAAAAGAUGAAAGCUAGGGAAAAUAGAGAAUUUAUUGGUUUAUCUAGCGAACCUAGUGCUCAGUUCGCUGAGUCACUAAACAACAAGAGACAUGGAAAAGAAGUAGGUCCAUGGGCAUCUGAAGCUAUCUUUCCAAGACACAGAAAUUCAGACCAAGCCACUUUCAUAGCAGCAGUGCGAAAAAGGCUGAGAUUCUCAAAUCCCAGGGAGAAUAUCAGAAGAUUCAAGGAA
Molecule: unclassified non-coding RNA, 250 nt
Filed under: Hevea brasiliensis (rubber tree)
Lineage: Eukaryota; Viridiplantae; Streptophyta; Magnoliopsida; Malpighiales; Euphorbiaceae
Source: RNAcentral